RNAcentral lists this ribosomal RNA (404 nucleotides) under uncultured bacterium. RNAcentral describes it as "bacterial SSU rRNA". It matches the Rfam family "Bacterial small subunit ribosomal RNA", at positions 29 to 426 of the family's 1533-position model. The record is from RNAcentral.
AAUGAACGCUGGUGGCAGACCUAACACAUGCAAGUCGAACGGUCUAUAUUAAACUUCGGUUUUUUAUAGAUAGUGGCAAACGGGUGAGUAAAGCAUGGGAAUCUACCUAGAAGUUGGUAAUAGCUAUUAGAAAUAGAUAGAUAAUACCAAAUAACACCUCGAGAGGGAAAGGUUAGACUUCGGUCUUCGUCUUUAGUAUGAGCCCACUGUUAAAUUAAGUUAGUUGGUAGGGUAAGUGGCCUACCAAGAUGAUGAUUUAUUAGCUGGUCUUAGGUGAUCAGCCACACUGGAAUUGAGAUACGGUCCAGACUCCUACGGGAGGGCAGCAGUGGGGAAGUAAUUGGACGAAGGGCGGCAAGCCUGAUCCAGUCAUGCCACGUGAGUGAUGAAGGUCUUAGGAUUGU